UACGAAGGGUGCAAACGUUGCUCGGAAUCAUUGGGCGUAAAGCGCACGUAGGCGGCCUGUUAAGUCGGAUGUGAAAUCCCUCGGCUCAACCGAGGACGUGCAUUCGAAACUGGCAAGCUCGAGUAUGGAAGAGGGUCGCGGAAUUCCCGGUGUAGAGGUGAAAUUCGUAGAUAUCGGGAGGAACACCGGUGGCGAAGGCGGCAUCCUGGACCAACACUGACGCUGAGGAGCGAAAGCCAGGGGAGCAAACGGG
RNAcentral lists this ribosomal RNA (253 nucleotides) under uncultured bacterium. RNAcentral's name for it is "partial 16S ribosomal RNA". It matches the Rfam family "Bacterial small subunit ribosomal RNA", at positions 524 to 776 of the family's 1533-position model. The record is from RNAcentral.